This 496-nucleotide ribosomal RNA is filed under the name Pseudomonas sp. LS30. RNAcentral describes it as "bacterial SSU rRNA". It matches the Rfam family "Bacterial small subunit ribosomal RNA", at positions 56 to 546 of the family's 1533-position model. Lineage: Bacteria; Pseudomonadati; Pseudomonadota; Gammaproteobacteria; Pseudomonadales; Pseudomonadaceae. The record is from RNAcentral.
UGCAGUCGAGCGGCAGCACGGGUACUUGUACCUGGUGGCGAGCGGCGGACGGGUGAGUAAUGCCUAGGAAUCUGCCUGGUAGUGGGGGAUAACGCUCGGAAACGGACGCUAAUACCGCAUACGUCCUACGGGAGAAAGCAGGGGACCUUCGGGCCUUGCGCUAUCAGAUGAGCCUAGGUCGGAUUAGCUAGUUGGUGAGGUAAUGGCUCACCAAGGCGACGAUCCGUAACUGGUCUGAGAGGAUGAUCAGUCACACUGGAACUGAGACACGGUCCAGACUCCUACGGGAGGCAGCAGUGGGGAAUAUUGGACAAUGGGCGAAAGCCUGAUCCAGCCAUGCCGCGUGUGUGAAGAAGGUCUUCGGAUUGUAAAGCACUUUAAGUUGGGAGGAAGGGCAUUUACCUAAUACGUGAUUGUUUUGACGUUACCGACAGAAUAAGCACCGGCUAACUCUGUGCCAGCAGCCGCGGUAAUACAGAGGGUGCAAGCGUUAAUC